This is a long non-coding RNA of Perca flavescens (yellow perch), 1733 nucleotides long. RefSeq lists it as uncharacterized. The transcript is spliced from 2 exons. Lineage: Eukaryota; Metazoa; Chordata; Actinopteri; Perciformes; Percidae. The record is from RefSeq and is a predicted model, not a curated record.
GCCCCACUGACAGCAGCAUGUCCGCUCUGUCGCCCUGCGCCUGUCAGCAGUCACGGGGAACCGGCCGGGACUCCUCCAGCUUAACUUCAUUAAUAGUCCGGUGCUGACUGCCCACAGGGUGUGUGCGUGCGCGCGCGCACUGCCAAGCCACAUUGCCAAACGGUCGGGCACGGGCACAUUCUGGUGACCUACUUAACUUCGAUGCAAAAGUUUCCCGCCUCACAAACAAUUUGCUCAAGAUCAGUGUUCAUUUUUGAACGCGUUUUGCAGCUGAAGCGCGCGCGGAGCCGAGGACCCAAAAGUAGCCUCCAUAGGCGUGGACAGCGGACACACAGGGGACACAGGGGACAACUACACUAGGGAGAAUCUGUAGAGUGGAAGUGACUAACGUGGCACCAGUUGCAGACCUCAGACCCACCUCUGAGGUGUGAUGUGAUGCAUCACAAUAAUAAUAAUAAUAAUAAUAAUAAUAAUAAUGACACUGGAGGCUGCAGUCCAGUCCAGCACCAUGGAGCAUGAUCUGAGGAUGGGCAUGUCUGUGUGGGCCAUUAUGGCCAUCGCUUGUAACUCUGCGGUGGGCGUCCUCAUCCUCAUCUUGUUCGUCAUCCUCUACAAGGCCUGCAAGGUGCCAUCACACCAAGACAAAGUGCCAGUUUUCACAGCAAUGCCGGAGAAGAAGAAGGCUAAACAGAAGUACCUGCUGACUGCAGCCUGAUCGUCAGAGCCACACGGAAUCUGCAGGCGCAGAAUUCAGCCGAAUUGUCUGAAGAAUUUCUGUAGAUUUUCCCGCAGAUUUUAAACAAUUUAAAAAACAAUUCAUUCUGGAUCGCUGCUGAAAACAAAAACCACUCCGCAGAUUCUGUUUGGGUCUGCUGAUCAUGUAGGACAUGGACUUGAGAUGUAGACAUAAUUCAAAUGUGUCCAUCUACAGUCCACAAGUUGAGCUACAGAGUGUUAGAGGACAAGCUGGACUCUGAACUUUGAGCGAUAUUCUAUAUUUAAUUUCCUCCACAAUUCCGUCAUUAUGUUCACUCAGUAACUCCUGUUGUCUUACAUGAACAUGCAUGUUCACAUUUCUCCACCAUCAGCCCCUCAUCUACGCCAUGCAGUGGAGCUUAAAGUGAGCUGUAGCUGCAUUAAGACUUGUGGCAACGCCAACAACCACAACAACAACAAGUGGGCCCAAUCCUCUUAUCUCUGCUGUGCGUCGCUGGGACUGUCCAUCUGUCAGCCUGUUUGCUUUGCUCUACACACGUAGACCAUGAUCUCCUCCCGUAUGACACAACUGAGAGGAUGCGGAGGAGAAACUGCAAAGACAGAAUGGAUUGUAAUGGGAGAGUUUGGGCUGACGCUGUUGGUUGAGAGUUACAAUAACAUUUUAGAGGUAAAGAGAAAAAGUAGCUGACAAACAGCUUGGCGCCUUGGUGCCAACUGCAGCACUUGUGACGGCAGCGACAGAGCUGCCAAAACCAAAAGCCUGAAAGAGUCAGGAAGGAGAGAGAGAUGCUGCUGGAGGGACUGGGAGAGGGAGACAGACUGAGAUAAAGGACAGAUAUUUGGAGGGGAUGAUAAAGAGCAGGGGAAGAAUGGGAGAGGGGAUGCUUUCAUGUGUUGUUUAUAGAAAAGGGAGCCCGAGGCUCCUGUUUGACAGUCUCCUUAUUUGACACACAAGCUUCCCCCGAUCCAACCGCCCUGGGAUUAAAAGCAGCUGCAAAAUAAAAAUGUUACUUGUG